GGCCAGAUGGCCGAGCAGUUAUGGCGCUGUGUUCAGGUUAUUAUACAUAUAAUGUAUGAAUCUGCAACUUCGCAGUGGAGAAAUCCGCGUGGGUGCAAAUCCCACUCUGGUCA
This is a non-coding RNA of Talaromyces proteolyticus, 113 nucleotides long. The record is from the annotation of a RefSeq genome assembly. NCBI's taxonomy places the organism in Eukaryota, Fungi, Ascomycota, Eurotiomycetes, Eurotiales, Trichocomaceae.